RNAcentral lists this ribosomal RNA (305 nucleotides) under uncultured bacterium. RNAcentral's name for it is "partial 16S ribosomal RNA". It matches the Rfam family "Bacterial small subunit ribosomal RNA", at positions 508 to 807 of the family's 1533-position model. The record is from RNAcentral.
ACAGCAGCCGCCACGGUAAUACGAAGGGGGCUAGCGUUGCUCGGAAUUACUGGGCGUAAAGGGAGCGUAGGCGGACAUUUAAGUCAGGGGUGAAAUCCCAGAGCUCAACCCCGGAACUGCAUCCGAUACUGCCGUGCUAGAGGACUGGAGAGGCAACUGGAAUUCUCGGUGUAGCAGUGAAAUGCGUGGAGAUCGAGAGGAACACUCGUGGCGAAAGCGAGUUGCUGGACAGUAUCUGACGCUGAGGCUCGAAGGCCAGGGUAGCGAAAGGGAUUAGAUACCCGCGUAGUCCCUGUCUCUUAUAC